RNAcentral lists this ribosomal RNA (423 nucleotides) under uncultured bacterium. RNAcentral's name for it is "bacterial SSU rRNA". It matches the Rfam family "Bacterial small subunit ribosomal RNA", at positions 355 to 776 of the family's 1533-position model. The record is from RNAcentral.
UAAGGAAUAUUGGUCAAUGGACGCAAGUCUGAACCAGCCAUGCCGCGUGGAGGAUGAAGGCCCUCUGGGUUGUAAACUUCUUUUAUGGGGGACGAAAUCACUUAUUCUUAAGUGUCUGACGGUACCCCAGGAAUAAGCACCGGCUAACUCCGUGCCAGCAGCCGCGGUAAUACGGAGGGUGCAAGCGUUAUCCGGAUUCACUGGGUUUAAAGGGUGCGUAGGAGGGCGGAUAAGUCAGUGGUGAAAUCUUCGAGCUUAACUCGGAAACUGCCGUUGAUACUAUUUGUCUUGAAUAUCGUGGAGGUGAGCGGAAUAUGUCAUGUAGCGGUGAAAUGCUUAGAUAUGACAUAGAACACCAAUUGCGAAGGCAGCUCGCUACACGAAUAUUGACUCUGAGGCACGAAAGCGUGGGGAUCAAACAGG